AGAGUGAACGCUGGCGGCAGGCCUAACACAUGCAAGUCGAACGGCAGCACAGCCCUAGCAAUAGGGUGGGUGGCGAGUGGCGGACGGGUGAGGAAUACAUCGGAAUCUACCUUGUCGUGGGGGAUAACGUAGGGAAACUUACGCUAAUACCGCAUACGAACUACGGUUGAAAGCGGCGGACCGCAAGGCGUCGCGCGAUUGGAUGAGCCGAUGUCCGAUUAGCUAGUUGGACGGGGUAAAGGCCCACCAAGGCGACGAUCGGUAGCUGGUCUGAGAGGAUGAUCAGCCACACUGGAACUG
Molecule: ribosomal RNA, 300 nt
Filed under: uncultured soil bacterium
Lineage: Bacteria
Description: bacterial SSU rRNA
Rfam family: Bacterial small subunit ribosomal RNA
Source: RNAcentral